GCAGUGGUGGUUCAGUGGUAGAAUUCACGCUUUCCAUGUGGGAGACCUGGGUUCAAUUUCUGGCCAAUGUA
Molecule: transfer RNA, 71 nt
Filed under: Loxodonta africana (African savanna elephant)
Lineage: Eukaryota; Metazoa; Chordata; Mammalia; Proboscidea; Elephantidae
Rfam family: tRNA
About the family: Transfer RNA (tRNA) molecules are approximately 80 nucleotides in length.
Source: Rfam by way of RNAcentral